GACGAACGCUGGCGGCGUGCUUAACACAUGCAAGUCGAACGGAAAGGCCCUGCUUUUGUGGGGUGCUCGAGUGGCGAACGGGUGAGUAACACGUGAGUAACCUGCCCUUGACUUUGGGAUAACUUCAGGAAACUGGGGCUAAUACCGGAUAGGAGCUCCUGCUGCAUGGUGGGGGUUGGAAAGUUUCGGCGGUUGGGGAUGGACUCGCGGCUUAUCAGCUUGUUGGUGGGGUAGUGGCUUACCAAGGCUUUGACGGGUAGCCGGCCUGAGAGGGUGACCGGCCACAUUGGGACUGAGAUAAGGCCCAGAAUCCUACGGGAGGCAGCAGUGGGGAAUAUUGCACCAUGGGCGGAAGCCUGAUGCAGCAACGCCGCGUGCGGGAUGACGGCCUUCGGGUUGUAAACCGCUUUCGCCUGUGACGAAGCGUGAGUGACGGUAAUGGGUAAAGAAGCAACGGCUAACUAAGUG
This 468-nucleotide ribosomal RNA is filed under the name uncultured bacterium. RNAcentral describes it as "partial 16S ribosomal RNA". It matches the Rfam family "Bacterial small subunit ribosomal RNA", at positions 28 to 507 of the family's 1533-position model. The record is from RNAcentral.